UACAGGGGGUGCAAACGUUGUUCGGAAUUAUUGGGCGUAAAGCGCGCGUAGGCGGCUACCUAAGUCGGAUGUGAAAGCCCCUGGCUUAACUGGGGAAGUGCACCCGAAACUGAGUAGCUAGAGUGCGAAAGAGGGUCGCGGAAUUCCCGGUGUAGAGGUGAAAUUCGUAGAUAUCGGGAGGAACACCGGUGGCGAAGGCGGCGUCCUGGGUCGACACUGACGCUGAGGCGCGAAAGCGUGGGGAGCAAACAGG
RNAcentral lists this ribosomal RNA (253 nucleotides) under uncultured bacterium. RNAcentral describes it as "partial 16S ribosomal RNA". It matches the Rfam family "Bacterial small subunit ribosomal RNA", at positions 524 to 776 of the family's 1533-position model. The record is from RNAcentral.